UGGCGAACGGGUGAGUAACACGUGGGUAAUCUGCCCUGCACUCUGGGAUAAGCCUGGGAAACUGGGUCUAAUACUGGAUAUGACCUUUCUCCUUAUGGGGUUUGGUGGAAAGUUUUUCGGUGUAGGAUGAGCCCGCGGCCUAUCAGCUUGUUGGUGGGGUGAUGGCCCACCAAGGCGACGACGGGUAGCCGGCCUGAGAGGGUGAUCGGCCACAUUGGGACUGAGAUACGGCCCAG
This 236-nucleotide ribosomal RNA is filed under the name uncultured Actinomycetales bacterium. Its description in RNAcentral is "partial 16S ribosomal RNA". It matches the Rfam family "Bacterial small subunit ribosomal RNA", at positions 96 to 334 of the family's 1533-position model. The record is from RNAcentral. Lineage: Bacteria; Bacillati; Actinomycetota; Actinomycetes; Actinomycetales.